This is an RNA transcript of Fundulus heteroclitus (mummichog), 2405 nucleotides long. RefSeq lists it as uncharacterized. The transcript has 3 exons. Lineage: Eukaryota; Metazoa; Chordata; Actinopteri; Cyprinodontiformes; Fundulidae. The record is from RefSeq and is a predicted model, not a curated record.
AUAGUGUUCCGAGGGGACAGAGCCGUGAUACCUGACGCACUCAGGGUGGACAUCACUCACAGGAUCCACUCCUCUCACCUAGGAGUUGAAGGAUGUCUGAGGCGAGCGAGGGAGUGUGUAUACUGGCUUGGAAUGAAUGAGGAGAUCAAGAACUUCAUCUCCAAAUGCGACAUAUGUAGGUCAGUGGAUCCAAAGCAACAAAGAGAGACACUACACCCACAUGACAUGGCAAGCAGACCCUGGGCCAAGGUAGGAACAGACCUUUUCUCCUUUCACAAUAAAGACUAUCUGAUAACAGUAGACUAUUAUUCAAACUUUUGGGAGGUUGAUUAUCUGCCUGACACUAAAAGUAACACAGUGAUCAAAAAACUCAAGGCCCACUUUGCCCGACAGGGGAUCCCGGACAUUGUUAUCUCAGAUAACGGACCCCAAUAUGCAUCACUAGAGUUUCAGCACUUCAGCCAAAAGUGGGGCUUUGAACACAGGACAUCGUCGCCGGGAUACCCACAGAGUAACGGGAAGGCGGAGUCAGCGGUGAAGACAGCCAAGCGCCUGAUGCUGAAAGCUGCAGCAGCGAGACAGGAUCCGUACUUGGCCAUGCUGGAUCAUCGCAACACACCGAGCCAGGGCCUCAACACAAGCCCGGCACAGAGACUCCUAAUCAGAAGGACCAGGACCCUGCUUCCCACUAAGGACACUCUGCUGAAGCCAGAGGUAACACACAACGAACAGGGACUGAAAUACAACAGACAGAGACAGGAAAAGUACUACAACCGCACAGCAAAAGACAUGGACACUCUGAAAGGAGGGGACAGUGUGAGAGUACAGCCCUGGGACACACACAAGGGCUGGAGACCAGCGAAAGUGGUCCAACAGGAUCCACAAGCAGUGAGACCAGAAAACUGGGUGUUAACUGGACGAGCCAAAGGUGGGAAGGACCAUCCAAAGAGCUCCUGACCAUGCCAACAGCUGUGAAGAUCGCUGAAAGGCCAUCCUGGAUUCAUCUCAGCCACUGGCCACUCGUCUCAACGUCAGUGAAGAAAUCAACUGAUCCCUGUUCUUUAGAGUCCUGGGUAAAAUUAACAUCUCUGCUAACCUAGCAAAAAUGGGGUUCCCAUGCAGAUGGGACUUCUUUUGCGUUGUGGCUGUGCGUGCAUUAUCUGUUUGAGUUCAGAUCCGGUAAAUGAGAGAGGAAAGAGGUUCAUCCACUCCACUGCCAUGAAGAUUUGGCUGGGUGAUAUCCCAAACCAUCAUGUUGACAACCUAUGGGAAACGUAUGCAAGAACUGUAGUGCAGCAGCAUAACAAGACUGACUGCUACGUGUGUUCUGUCAUGAACACCUCACAGGCUAUUUGUUUUGCAUCAUAUGCAUUCCAGUUUAUGCCUGCUCAAUUGAUAAAUGCCACGACUGGGGAGAUUAUGAUGGAACAAGUGUGCAAAGGAGUAAAGUCGUCACUGUUCUCUUACAGUAAUGUUACAGGCUUUCCCACCAAGAUGAAGGCUGUUAUGUCUAAAGGAAUGAAACAUCCAGUGUGUAUUCGCUCACCUGGAGGGAAUGAUACGGUGAAGGUAGGACAUGCAGCAGGAUGCCAGAGUACCAUCACUGACCUUUACUUUGACUUUGUCUGCGGCAUUGUCCCUAAUGGAACGUACACCAGCUGUUCUACUUGGAAACCACAAGUCAACUUUCCUACAGAGGGUGGCUGGUUCUUGUGUGGAGGAGACAGUAUCUAUCCAUCAUUGCCUAUAAACUGGUCAGGUACAUAUGCUCCUGUUUUUGUUUCUGACCACACUGUUAUCAUCUCAGCUUAAGCUGUGAAGGACCAUCACUCCUCUGAUAGGAUGAAAAGAGAACUCAGCUCCAGCUCAGUUUUCCAGCCCCAUGAUCGAUCCCAUAUGGGGUUCUAACAUUCCCUCUAAACAUAAACACUGGAGUACAGCGAAUAAAAUACUUUGCUGUACUCUUGACUUUCACUUUUCCGUGGUUUGGAGUUGGUAAAUCUAUGCUGAUGAUUGAGACACUGGACUACAGAAUGAAGACCCUGGUAAACAUGACGAUGGACAUCAAUAAAGGACAAAACAAACAAUUAAGUGAAAUGGGUUUAAUGGUACUACAAAACAGAAUGGUUUUGGACAGGUAAACUGCUAGCCAAGGUGGCGUAUGUGUAAUGAUUGGAAUUUCCUGCUGUAUGUACAUUUCUGACGCAAAUGAAACUCAUAUUACUGAAGCUAUGUCUGCUUUAAAGAAUCUGCAACAAGCAAUGUCCCAGGAUACUGUUCCUCUAAGUAUGAACUUUCUCUCCUGGUUCUUUUCAGGAUCGUGGUGGCACCUUUUACUGAAAAUAAUGACACCCAUUAUUAUUGUUCUUAUUAUUCUUUGUGUUUUUACUGCUUGUGUAAUCCCA